ACAGGGAUUGCCUCAGUAACGGCGAGUGAAGCGGCAACAGCUCAAAUUUGAAAUCUGGCUCCUCCGGGGUCCGAGUUGUAAUUUGUAGAGGAUGCUUCGGGCGCGGCGUCAGUCUAAGUUCCUUGGAACAGGAUGUCAUAGAGGGUGAGAAUCCCGUAUGCGACUGAAUGCCUAGCUCAUGUGAAGCUCCUUCAACGAGUCGAGUUGUUUGGGAAUGCAGCUCUAAAUGGGUGGUAAAUUUCAUCUAAAGCUAAAUACCGGCCAGAGACCGAUAGCGCACAAGUAGAGUGAUCGAAAGAUGAAAAGCACUUUGGAAAGAGAGUUAAAAAGCACGUGAAAUUGUUGAAAGGGAAGCGCUUGCAAUCAGACUUGCCUGCAGUUGAUCAACCGGUGUUCUCAUCGGUGUACGCUUCUGCAGAUCAGGCCAGCAUCAGUCUGGACGGUUGGAUAAAGACCUUGAGAAUGUAGCUUCCCUCGGGGAGUGUUAUAGCUCUGGGUGCAAUGCAGCCUGCCCGGACUGAGGACCGCGCUUCGGCUAGGAUGCUGGCGUAAUGGUUGUAAGCGACCCGUCUUGAAACACGGACCAAGGAGUCUAACAUCUAUGCAAGUGUUUGGGUGUCAAACCCAUGCGCGCAAUGAAAGUGAACGGAGGUGGGAACCCUCAAGGGCGCACCAUCGACCGAUCCUGAUGUCUUCGGAUGGAUUUGAGUAAGAGCAUAACUGUUGGGACCCGAAAGAAGGUGAACUAUGCCUGAAUAGGGUGAAGCCAGAGGAAACUCUGGUGGAGGCUCGCAGCGGUUCUGACGUGCAAAUCGAUCGUCAAAUUUGGGUAUAGGGGCGAAAGAC
RNAcentral lists this ribosomal RNA (846 nucleotides) under Candelariella sp. RNAcentral's name for it is "partial large subunit ribosomal RNA". It matches the Rfam family "Eukaryotic large subunit ribosomal RNA", at positions 68 to 931 of the family's 3401-position model. The record is from RNAcentral. Lineage: Eukaryota; Fungi; Ascomycota; Candelariomycetes; Candelariales; Candelariaceae.